This 605-nucleotide ribosomal RNA is filed under the name uncultured bacterium. RNAcentral describes it as "bacterial SSU rRNA". It matches the Rfam family "Bacterial small subunit ribosomal RNA", at positions 34 to 642 of the family's 1533-position model. The record is from RNAcentral.
AGCUGGCGGCGUGCUUAAACAUGCAAGUCGAGUGCGCGUCCGUAGCAAUACGGAUGGCGCACGGCGCACGGGUGCGUAACACGUGGGUAAUCUGCCCUCUGAUGGGGAAUAACUCGCCGAAAGGCGAGCUAAUACCGCAUAACAUUCCUUGGACUCCGGUUCGAGGAUUCAAAGGCGUAAGUCGUCGGAGGUGGAGCCCGCGCACGAUUAGCUAGUUGGUAGGGUAAUGGCCUACCAAGGCUUUGAUCGUUAGCUGGUCUGAGAGGAUGGCCAGCCACACUGGAACUGAGACACGGUCCAGACUCCUACGGGAGACAGCAGUGGGGAAUCUUGCACAAUGGGCGAAAGCCUGAUGCAGCGACGCCGCGUGGGGGAUGAAGCUUCUCGGAGUGUAAACCCCUUUCGACCGGGACGAAUACCUCGCAAGAGGGGUGACGGUACCGGUAUAAGAAGCCCCGGCUAACUACGUGCCAGCAGCCGCGGUAAGACGUAGGGGGCCAGCGUUGCUCGGAAUUACUGGGUGUAAAGGGUUCGUANGCGGUGUGGCAAGUCGGGAGUGAAAUCUCUGAGCUUAACUCAGGGGCUGCUUCCGAAACUGCUGUGCU